This 412-nucleotide ribosomal RNA is filed under the name Salmonella enterica subsp. enterica serovar Infantis. Its description in RNAcentral is "bacterial SSU rRNA". It matches the Rfam family "Bacterial small subunit ribosomal RNA", at positions 1 to 409 of the family's 1533-position model. The record is from RNAcentral. RNAcentral also lists the same sequence under 1 other name. Lineage: Bacteria; Pseudomonadati; Pseudomonadota; Gammaproteobacteria; Enterobacterales; Enterobacteriaceae.
AAAUUGAAGAGUUUGAUCAUGGCUCAGAUUGAACGCUGGCGGCAGGCCUAACACAUGCAAGUCGAACGGUAACAGGAAGCAGCUUGCUGCUUCGCUGACGAGUGGCGGACGGGUGAGUAAUGUCUGGGAAACUGCCUGAUGGAGGGGGAUAACUACUGGAAACGGUGGCUAAUACCGCAUAACGUCGCAAGACCAAAGAGGGGGACCUUCGGGCCUCUUGCCAUCAGAUGUGCCCAGAUGGGAUUAGCUUGUUGGUGAGGUAACGGCUCACCAAGGCGACGAUCCCUAGCUGGUCUGAGAGGAUGACCAGCCACACUGGAACUGAGACACGGUCCAGACUCCUACGGGAGGCAGCAGUGGGGAAUAUUGCACAAUGGGCGCAAGCCUGAUGCAGCCAUGCCGCGUGUAUGAA